GACGAACGCUGGCGGCGUGCUUAACACAUGCAAGUCGAACGGAAAGGCCUGCUUUCCCUUGUGGAUUGCGGGUACUCGAGUGGCGAACGGGUGAGUAACACGUGAGUGAUCUGCCCCCAACUUGGGUAUAAGCCUGGGAAACUGGGUCUAAUUCCCGAUAGGACUGCAGGGUGGUGCCUGUGGUGGAAAACGAUUUUCUAGUGGUUGGGGAUGAGCUCGCGGCCUAUCAGCUUGUUGGUGGGGUAAUGGCCUACCAAGGCGGCGACGGGUAGCCGGCCUGGGAGGGUGGACGGCCACAUUGGGACUGAGAGACGGGCCAGACUCCUACGGGAGGCAGCAGUGGGGAAUAUUGCACAAUGGGCGGAAGCCUGAUGCAGCGACGCCGCGUGGGGGAUGACGGCCUUCGGGUUGUAAACUCCUUUCGACCGCGAGGAAGCCACCUGGUUGGAAGGGUGGUGACGGUAGUGGUAGAAGAAGCACCGGCUAACUACGU
Molecule: ribosomal RNA, 493 nt
Filed under: uncultured bacterium
Lineage: Bacteria
Description: partial 16S ribosomal RNA
Rfam family: Bacterial small subunit ribosomal RNA
Source: RNAcentral